UACGGAGGAUGCGAGCGUUAUCCGGAUUUAUUGGGUUUAAAGGGUGCGUAGGCGGGAUGCCAAGUCAGCGGUAAAAAUGCGGUGCUCAACGCCGUCGAGCCGUUGAAACUGGCGUUCUUGAGUGGGCGAGAAGUAUGCGGAAUGCGUGGUGUAGCGGUGAAAUGCAUAGAUAUCACGCAGAACUCCGAUUGCGAAGGCAGCAUGCCGGCUUCCGACUGACGCUGAAGCACGAAAGCGUGGGGAUCGAACAGG
This 252-nucleotide ribosomal RNA is filed under the name uncultured bacterium. Its description in RNAcentral is "partial 16S ribosomal RNA". It matches the Rfam family "Bacterial small subunit ribosomal RNA", at positions 524 to 776 of the family's 1533-position model. The record is from RNAcentral.